ACGGUCCUUUCGGGGAUAGUGGCGGACGGGUGAGUAACGCGUGAGAAUCUGCCUUCAGGACGGGAACAACAACUGGAAACGGUUGCUAAAGCCCGAUGUGCCUUUCGGGGUGAAAUACUUGUAGCCUGAAGAUGAGCUCGCGUCCGAUUAGCUAGUUGGUGGAGUAAUGGUUUACCAAGGCGACGAUCGGUAACUGGUCUGAGAGGAUGACCAGUCACACUGGGACUGAGACACGGCCCAGACUCCUACGGGAGGCAGCAGUGGGGAAUUUUCCGCAAUGGGCGAAAGCCUGACGGAGCAAUACCGCGUGAGGGAGGAAGGCUCUUGGGUCGUAAACCUCUUUUAUCAGGGAAGAAACAAAUGACGGUACCUGAUGAAUCAGCAUCGGCUAACUCCGUGCCAGCAGCCGCGGUAAUACGGAGGAUGCAAGCGUUAUCCGGAAUUAUUGGGCGUAAAGCGUCCGCAGGUGGUUUUGAAAGUUUGCUGUCAAAGCGCGGAGCUUAACUUCGUACCGGCAGUGAAAACUCCAAGACUAGAGUUUGGUAGGGGUCACGGGAAUUCCCAGUGUAGCGGUGAAAUGCGUAGAGAUUGGGAAGAACACCAGCGGCGAAAGCGCGUGACUGGGC
RNAcentral lists this ribosomal RNA (626 nucleotides) under Leptolyngbya 'Albertano-Kovacik green' Ep_Yyy1000. RNAcentral describes it as "bacterial SSU rRNA". It matches the Rfam family "Bacterial small subunit ribosomal RNA", at positions 66 to 734 of the family's 1533-position model. The record is from RNAcentral. Lineage: Bacteria; Bacillati; Cyanobacteriota; Cyanophyceae; Leptolyngbyales; Leptolyngbyaceae.